This 1627-nucleotide long non-coding RNA is filed under the name Sus scrofa (pig). RNAcentral describes it as "lncRNA (ENSSSCG00035076446.1)". Lineage: Eukaryota; Metazoa; Chordata; Mammalia; Artiodactyla; Suidae. The record is from RNAcentral.
ACCUCUGAUUGAGUGAGGUGGCUGUGGGGGUAAAUUGGGCAAUUCUUUGCUUCUGUGUGCAGGUGAUCCCCGGGGGAGCAGGUCCCUGCAUCUGACAGGGAAUGAGCACAUAACCAGAACAUACAGUCCUAUUGUCAGAAUAUGUCAUAAGAAGGUGGGUAGGAACAUGUGGGGACAAACCAUUUCCUCUCACUCUUUAGCUUAAUGUGUAAGCUAUUCAGAAAUACGUUAUUCAAGGCCAUCAAUGGAUAGUCAGUAAGUAAGUAUUUAUUGAACUCCAAAUGUGUAUCGGGCAUUAAAAAUAUGGAUGUGAAUAAGGAAGAGAAUAUCUGAUCCUUAAGUAGCUGAUUGAAUUGAAUGAGUGAAUCCAGUUUUAUCGUUACUUAUUAAGGAUGAUUGUCUUUAAAAGACAUUCUUUAGCAGAUGUUCAGUGGUUUCUCAGGUUUUAUAAAAAUUAUUAGAGAAUAAACAUUUUCCCAUGAGUUUAAGAAAAAUGUAAUUUUCCACAUAUGAAUUGUUAGUUCCUAUUCUUCAGCAUUGACAAUUCAAAAAAACAAAACAAAACAAAACAAAAAACCCACGUUUGGCAGAAGGGAGUGAAACUCUGAGAAGUUAAUGCAUUGUCCCAGGUCAUACUGGAAAUAAAAUAAGAGUCAGACCAAGAAACAGGGUCACCAACUCCUGGCUGGUGUUUGUUCUUCUAUGCAUUCCAAGCACUAUCUCUAAACAUAUCUUUCUAUCCCUGUCUUAAGGAUAAUAUGAUUUGUCUUAUACUCCUUAAUUAAGGAGAACGGGCCUCUGAGAAGCGCUGUUUCUAUAGAGCCCGACUUAUGCUUAUUCUGUAACUUUGGAAUUACAGAACAUUUUCUCACUAAAGUUGAAAUGGGAGAAGGCUGGGUUUUGUAUGAUUACUGGGACCAGAGAGGCCAGUGACAUUUUUUAUUUCUGAUUUUCCUUGCAGAGGUGAAAAUAUGCUUCUCACUUGUACCUUACACCUCCUUUCUUUAUGUUUUAAAGUUCCAUUCCCUUUUUAUAGCACCUUAGGGAUUCCUCCUUUCCAGACCUCUCUCUACUCCUUCUCUAAUAUCCAAACCAAUAUUCUUUGUAUUUUUCUGAUAAAAUAUUUCUUGAAUUAAUUAGGCAAAGUCAAGUUCUUUCUUGAAUUAAUUAGGCUUAUAACUAUACCUGUUACAAAAGAAUAAUACUUAGGCCUAAGACAUGGUCUGUUAACUCCAGUUUCUAUAUAGUAGCUGAUCUUUAUCUUUGUGUAUCUUAAAAUUACUGCUAUUGAAAACAUUGAAUUACUGUAGAGCUAUAACUAUCACUCAGGCAUUUUAAAAAAAAAUUGCAGGUUACAAAUCUCAAAAUUAAAUUAAUUAAAAUGUUUAGUUGGGAGUUCCCUUCAGGGCUCAGUGGUUAACAAACCUGACUAGGAUCCAUGAGGAUGUGGGUUUGAUCCCUGGCCUCACUCAGUGACUUAAGGAUCCAGCAUUGCCGUGAGCUAUGGUGUAGGUCACAGACACAGUUCGGAUCCCACAUUGCUGUAGCUGUGGCUGUGGUUGGCCGCUGUAGCUCCACUUCGACCCCUAGCUUGGGAACUUCCAUAUGCUGAGGCAUUGGCCAAAAA